AUAACUCCGGGAAACCGGAGCUAAUACCGGAUAGUUCCUUGAACCGCAUGGUUCAAGGAUGAAAGACGGUUUCCGGCUGUCACUUUCAAGAUGGACCGGCGGCGCAUUAGCUAGUUGGUGGGGUAAUGGCUCACCAAGGCGACGAUGCGUAGCCGACCUGAGAGGGUGAUCGGCCACACUGGGACUGAGACACGGCCCAGACUCCUACGGGAGGCAGCAGUAGGGAAUCUUCCGCAAUGGACGAAAGUCUGACGGAGCAACGCCGCGUGAGUGAUGAAGGUUUUCGGAUCGUAAAGCUCUGUUGUUAGGGAAGAACAAGUGCGAGAGUAACUGCUCGCACCUUGACGGUACCUAACCAGAAAGCCACGGCUAACUACGUGCCAGCAGCCGCGGUAAUACGUAGGUGGCAAGCGUUGUCCGGAAUUAUUGGGCGUAAAGGGCUCGCAGGCGGUUUCUUAAGUCUGAUGUGAAAGCCCCCGGCUCAACCGGGGAGGGUCAUUGGAAACUGGGAAACUUGAGUG
Molecule: ribosomal RNA, 521 nt
Filed under: Bacillus sp. enrichment culture clone CBMAI_967
Lineage: Bacteria; Bacillati; Bacillota; Bacilli; Caryophanales; Bacillaceae
Description: bacterial SSU rRNA
Rfam family: Bacterial small subunit ribosomal RNA
Source: RNAcentral